This 460-nucleotide ribosomal RNA is filed under the name uncultured bacterium. Its description in RNAcentral is "partial 16S ribosomal RNA". It matches the Rfam family "Bacterial small subunit ribosomal RNA", at positions 338 to 795 of the family's 1533-position model. The record is from RNAcentral.
CCUACGGGUGGCAGCAGUGAGGAAUAUUGGUCAAUGGGCGGGAGCCUGAACCAGCCAAGUCGCGUGAGGGAAGACGGUCCUAUGGAUUGUAAACCUCUUUAGGCGGGGAGCAAUGCCGGGCACGCGUGCCCGGAGGGAGAGUACCCGCAGAAUAAGCAUCGGCUAACUCCGUGCCAGCAGCCGCGGUAAUACGGAGGAUGCGAGCGUUAUCGGGAUUUAUUGGGUUUAAAGGGUGCGUAGGCGGAUUUUUAAGUCAGCGGUAAAAUGUCCGGGCUCAACCCGGGCCGGCCGUUGAAACUGGGGAUCUUGAGUGGGCGAGAAGUAUGCGGAAUGCGCGGUGUAGCGGUGAAAUGCGUAGAUAUCGCGCAGAACCCCGAUUGCGAAGGCAGCGUACCGGCUCCACACUGACGCUGAGGCACGAAAGCGUGGGUAUCGAACAGGAUUAGAUACCCCAGUAGUC